This 74-nucleotide transfer RNA is filed under the name Tetracentron sinense. It matches the Rfam family "tRNA". Rfam says of the family: Transfer RNA (tRNA) molecules are approximately 80 nucleotides in length. Lineage: Eukaryota; Viridiplantae; Streptophyta; Magnoliopsida; Trochodendrales; Trochodendraceae. The record is from Rfam by way of RNAcentral.
ACAUCAAUGGCUGAAUGGUUAAAGCGUCCAACUCAUAAUUGGAAAAUUCAUAGGUUCAUUUCCUACCGGAUGCA